Molecule: long non-coding RNA, 1616 nt
Filed under: Homo sapiens (human)
Lineage: Eukaryota; Metazoa; Chordata; Mammalia; Primates; Hominidae
Description: DIO3 opposite strand upstream RNA
Source: RNAcentral
GCAGACGGUCUCAUGCUGGCUCAGAGGGCAGCAGGAGUGUCUAAGCCAGGUGGCUGGAACAUCUGGAGGAAGCGUGCUGUGGCCAGAGGAGACUGGGGAAGGAGCCUGGGAGGAGGGCUGAGGCGGGGCAGCCAGGGGCCCUGGACCUGAAGCCUUUGGGUGUGGCCUGUGACCUGUGCCUGACCCUGACUCUCGCCUCCCCUGGAAGCUGUGUCUUUGCCUCUGAAUCCAGGCCUGCCACCCCCAUUUCCAGCUUCUUGAAGCAGUUCCUCGCUGUCUGGAGGGCAUCGUGGUGCCCGGCAGCAGCCUCAGUCCUGCCGUCCACACACCGCCUGUGCCUCCAGGCAUCUUCAGUGCCCCGUCCAGGACUCUUGUCAGAGCGUCCCUCCUGCCGGCAGCCACUCCCAGUUCUUCACACAGCGAAUGGAGCCCUCACGCUGCGCCGGUGCCACAUCUCCCACCAGCGAUGGAGCUUUGGUGCCACCUCUUCAUCUACUUUCCUGGGCCAUUCCUGGUGCCAACUGUUUCAGAGAUGGGGUCUUGCCAUGUUGCCCAGGCUGGUCUUGAACUCCUGAACUCAAGGAAUCCCCCUACCUCAGCCACCCAAAGCUGGAAUUACAGUUCUGGAGGCUGGAAAUCCAAGACCGAGAUGUCAGCCAGGAUGGUUUCUAUUGAGGCCCUAUCUCCAAACAACCCGCAUUUCCUCAAAAAUGCGGACUUCAACAUGUCUUUUGGGGGAACAAAGACUUUUGGGGAACAAAGUCUUUGGAGGAACACAGGUCAGACCAUGAUGCCUUGCCCAGCUCACUCCAAACAUGCUGAGCCUCAGUGUCUUCGUCGAUGAAAUGGGGUGGAUCAGAGGGGGCCAUGGACCUCCUGGUACCUCUUCACCCCUUUGCUCACCAGUUUGGUUAUUCCCUCCAGGCUAAACCAUCUGCUAAGGCCACACUGGACCUUGAAAAGAUACUAAUUGUGAGGGUGAUGGCAACUGCGACACCAGCAAUGGCUGUCUCCUCACUCUGUUCCCCACUGAUCCCAGCAUUCCUCAAGGGGCCUCAGCCAUCCAGAUGGUGCCAGGCACAAAUCAACCUACAGGUGCAGACCUGCUCAGAUUAGAUGGAUUGACAGGCCCAGCCCAAUAGGAAGCACCUGAUCCACACUCUUUCUAGCCCCAGGGAUGCUCAGGAAAGCAGCCUUUCUUUAGGGCUGUCAUCUGUUCUGGGGAUCUGUUGCUGUUUCUUGGGCCCACAGAAUACACUCCACACCUCGGGACUCCAUAAUAUUGGACAAGGCUGGAAGGCCCAUUUGGCUCCUGCAGCCUCUUAUGCAGGAGGACCUCCUGAGGCUUCGGGCAGGAGCUGGUGCACACCUGGAGGAGAGUGCUGGUGAAUGGCAGGUGUGUGCCUCAGUGUCCUUGCUGCCAGGGUGUCAGCCCUGCUUCACCACUGGCCGUUUGUCUCUGUCCCCUCCACUGGCCUCUUGAAGCACAGAGACCCUCCGGGUACUUUCCUUCCUCUGGGCUUCCACUCAUGCUAUUCCCUGCUCCCUUUUUCUACCUGGAGACCCCCAUUCCUCCUCCUCCUCUGCUGCCCUCACCUCCACCUGGGCCCUCCCAG